UCCGAAUUGGUGUAGUGGCUAACAUUUGACGCUCUCAUAGAAGUGCCGUCAAGCCCGGGGUUCGAUUCCCCGAUUCGGAG
Molecule: transfer RNA, 80 nt
Filed under: Nemania diffusa
Lineage: Eukaryota; Fungi; Ascomycota; Sordariomycetes; Xylariales; Xylariaceae
Also listed under: 1 other name
Description: tRNA-Glu
Rfam family: tRNA
About the family: Transfer RNA (tRNA) molecules are approximately 80 nucleotides in length. Their secondary structure includes four short double-helical elements and three loops (D, anti-codon, and T loops). Further hydrogen bonds mediate the characteristic L-shaped molecular structure. tRNAs have two regions of fundamental functional importance: the anti-codon, which is responsible for specific mRNA codon recognition, and the 3' end, to which the tRNAs corresponding amino acid is attached (by aminoacyl-tRNA synthetases). tRNAs cope with the degeneracy of the genetic code in two manners: having more than one tRNA (with a specific anti-codon) for a particular amino acid; and 'wobble' base-pairing, i.e. permitting non-standard base-pairing at the 3rd anti-codon position.
Source: RNAcentral